UACGGAGGAUGCAAGCGUUAUCCGGAAUCAUUGGGCGUAAAGCGUCUGUAGGUGGCUUGGUAAGUCGACUGUUAAAUCGUAGAGCUCAACUUUAUAUCGGCAGUCGAAACUACUUCGCUUGAGUGUGGUAGGGGCAGAGGGAAUUCCCGGUGUAGCGGUGAAAUGCGUAGAUAUCGGGAAGAACACCAACGGCGAAAGCACUCUGCUGGGCCAACACUGACACUGAGAGACGAAAGCUAGGGUAGUCAAUGGGAUUAGAUACCCCAGUAGUCCUAGCCGUAAACGAUGGAUACUAAGUGGUGUGCGUAUUGACCCGUACACUGCUGUAGCUAACGCGUUAAGUAUCCCGC
RNAcentral lists this ribosomal RNA (350 nucleotides) under uncultured Chlorophyta. RNAcentral's name for it is "SSU rRNA". It matches the Rfam family "Bacterial small subunit ribosomal RNA", at positions 524 to 872 of the family's 1533-position model. Lineage: Eukaryota; Viridiplantae; Chlorophyta. The record is from RNAcentral.